RNAcentral lists this ribosomal RNA (506 nucleotides) under uncultured bacterium. RNAcentral describes it as "bacterial SSU rRNA". It matches the Rfam family "Bacterial small subunit ribosomal RNA", at positions 550 to 1052 of the family's 1533-position model. The record is from RNAcentral.
UUUAUUGGGCGUAAAGAGUUCGUAGGCGGUUCGUUAAGUCUGAUGUUAAAGAUCGGGGCUCAACCUCGAGAGUGCAUUGGAUACUGGCGGACUUGAGUGCAGUAGAGGCGAGUGGAAUUCUCAGUGUAGCGGUGAAAUGCGUAGAUAUUGGGAAGAACACCGGUGGCGCAGGCGACUCGCUGGGCUGUAACUGACGCUGAGGAACGAAAGCUAGGGGAGCAAAUGGGAUUAGAUACCCCAGUAGUCCUAGCUGUAAACGAUGGAUACUAGGCGUAGCAGGUAUCGACCCCUGCUGUGCCGUAGCUAACGCGAUAAGUAUCCCGCCUGAGUAGUACGGCCGCAAGGUUGAAACUCAAAGGAAUUGACGGGGGCCCGCACAAGCGGUGGAACAUGUGGUUUAAUUCGAAGCAACGCGAAGAACCUUACCAGGGCUUGACAUGUAGAGAACUUUUCGGAAACGAGAAGGUGCCCGCAAGGGAGCUCUAACACAGGUGGUGCAUGGCUGU